RNAcentral lists this unclassified non-coding RNA (284 nucleotides) under Hevea brasiliensis (rubber tree). The record is from RNAcentral. Lineage: Eukaryota; Viridiplantae; Streptophyta; Magnoliopsida; Malpighiales; Euphorbiaceae.
UUUUGUCACGGAAAAAUGAAGCAGAAUCCGUAGAUGCCGCAAUUAAUAUAAUGGGCUUGGAUUGACUUGAGGAUGAAAUAUUAAUUGGCGGGAGUGAUGACCAAACACUGUAUCCACCUAAAGGAAGGCAAGUCUGUUCUCUUAAACAAGAUUCUGAAUUAUGAGUCCCAGAUUUUGUAGUCUGCAUCACCAAAUCAAACUCAGCGACAUCUGCUGUAUAAGCAUUCUUUUGUUUCUCAUUCUUUGUGGCAACCUCCUGCAUGAUCUGACUACUCUCCUCAGAG